UACAGAGGUCUCAAGCGUUGUUCGGAAUUAUUGGGCGUAAAGGGCGCGUAGGCGGUGCGGUAAGUCUGCGGUGAAAUCUCCCGGCUCAACUGGGAGGCUGCCGUGGAAACUGCCGUGCUUGAGUGUGGGAGAGGUGAGUGGAAUUCCCGGCGUAGCGGUGAAAUGCGUAGAUAUCGGGAGGAACACCUGUGGCGAAAGCGGCUCACUGGACCACAACUGACGCUGAGGCGCGAAAGCUAGGGGAGCAAACAGG
This 253-nucleotide ribosomal RNA is filed under the name uncultured bacterium. RNAcentral describes it as "partial 16S ribosomal RNA". It matches the Rfam family "Bacterial small subunit ribosomal RNA", at positions 524 to 776 of the family's 1533-position model. The record is from RNAcentral.